UCUCCGUAGGUGAACCUGCGGAGGGAUCAUUACAGAGUUCGUGCCCUCACGGGUAGAUCUCCCACCCUGUGUUAUUAUACCUUUGUUGCUUUGGCGGGCCGCCCUCGGCUACCGGCCCCGGCUGGCACGCGCCCGCCAGAGGACCCCAAACUCUGAAUGUUAGUGUCGUCUGAGUACUAUACAAUAGUUAAAACUUUCAACAACGGAUCUCUUGGUUCUG
This 220-nucleotide unclassified non-coding RNA is filed under the name plant metagenome. RNAcentral's name for it is "partial contains small subunit ribosomal RNA, internal transcribed spacer 1, and 5.8S ribosomal RNA". The record is from RNAcentral.